UACGUAGGGAGCAAGCGUUGUCCGGAAUCAUUGGGCGUAAAGCGCGCGUAGGUGGCUUCGUAAGUCCGUUGUGAAAGUCAAAGGCUCAACCUUUGAAAGCCGAUGGAUACUGUGAAACUAGAGUACGGAAGAGGCGAGUGGAAUUCCUGGUGUAGCGGUGGAAUGCGCAGAUAUCAGGAGGAACACCAAUAGCGAAGGCAGCUCGCUGGGACGUUACUGACACUGAGGCGCGAAAGCGUGGGGAGCGAACAGG
Molecule: ribosomal RNA, 253 nt
Filed under: uncultured bacterium
Lineage: Bacteria
Description: partial 16S ribosomal RNA
Rfam family: Bacterial small subunit ribosomal RNA
Source: RNAcentral